AUGGACCAGUACAACUACGGCGGCGGCGUGGCCUACUACGGCAGCACCACCGGCGGCGUAGGCGACAACGGCCAGGGCGGCGGGUACGCGACGGUGACGUCGGCGCCGCCGAAGCGGCCGGCGGGGCGGACCAAGUUCCGGGAGACGCGCCACCCGGUGUACCGGGGCGUGCGCCGGCGCGGCGCGGCCGGGCGGUGGGUGUGCGAGGUGCGCGAGCCCAACAAGAAGUCCCGCAUCUGGCUCGGCACCUUCGCCAGCCCCGAGGCCGCGGCCCGCGCCCACGACGUCGCCGCGCUCGCGCUCCGGGGCCGCGCCGCCUGCCUCAACUUCGCCGACUCGGCCACGCUGCUCGCCGUCGACCCCGCCACGCUCCGCACCCCCGACGACAUCCGCGCCGCCGCCAUCGCGCUCGCCGAGACCGCGUGCCCCGCCGCGCCCGCGUCCUCGUCGUCCGUGGCCGCCGCCGUGGCGUCCGCGCCGGCGCCCCCGAUGACGAUGAUGCAGUUUGACGACUACGCGAUGCAGUACGGCGGCAUUGGGGACUUGGACCAGCAUUCCUACUACUACGACGGGUUGAGCGCCGCCGGUGGCGACUGGCCGAGCGGCUCGCACAUGGACGGAGCCGACGACGACUGCAACGGCAGCGGUGGCUACGGCGCCGGCGAGGUCGCGCUCUGGAGCUACUGA
This 687-nucleotide ribosomal RNA is filed under the name Triticum aestivum (bread wheat). Its description in RNAcentral is "partial small subunit ribosomal RNA". Lineage: Eukaryota; Viridiplantae; Streptophyta; Magnoliopsida; Poales; Poaceae. The record is from RNAcentral.